Molecule: ribosomal RNA, 253 nt
Filed under: uncultured bacterium
Lineage: Bacteria
Description: partial 16S ribosomal RNA
Rfam family: Bacterial small subunit ribosomal RNA
Source: RNAcentral
UACGUAGGGUGCGAGCGUUGUCCGGAAUUAUUGGGCGUAAAGAGCUCGUAGGUGGCUUGUUGCGUCUGCCGUGAAAGCCCGUGGCUUAACUACGGGUCUGCGGUGGAUACGGGCAGGCUAGAGGCUGGUAGGGGCGAGCGGAAUUCCUGGUGUAGCGGUGAAAUGCGCAGAUAUCAGGAGGAACACCGGUGGCGAAGGCGGCUUGCUGGGCCAGUUCUGACGCUGAGGAGCGAAAGCGUGGGGAGCGAACAGG